AGCAUUCUUACUUUAAGAACUGAUAUAUCCACUUCUUAAAUUUUUAUAAGCCAUAGAAAUGUAGUUGUCCGCUUCUGCUUAAAGAACUGAAAAGACUUUGAAACAGCCUAGUGAUAUUCUACUAUUUCUGGUGGAAGAAAGCAGGCAAGCCUACAGACUUUGCUGCAGGUGCCCAGGCUUUAACAUGAGCUGACUCACCUUUCUUUCAGUGCCUGCUGUGACUCAGACCUGUGAAAAGAGAAAGUCAAAGAAAACUUGUUCAAUUUUUUUUUUUGUCAAAGUAGGUUUUGUUGUUGUUUUUGUUGUCGUCUAAGAAAAUGCAGCUAUGUCAAAUUUUCAGCAAGUCUGUGAUGGAUUUCAUGUUCUUCUUCAUAAGGCAUUUGUGCAUACAGGAUGUGUGCUGCACAGCAUGUAAAACACAGCAGUACCCAACUAGAUGGAAAAAUGUUGGCUAUGAGAAGCAGCUUUCCUGUCCAGCUUCAAGCUCUGUGCUGUCAUCUGUCAUGGGAACAAAGCCUUGGAUGUGGGAGUAAGCCUGAGCGUCUGUGCAGCAGGCAGAGGGCAUUGCAGGGUUUCCAGAACCUGCAGCUCUGAAAUAACCUUGCUAAAGAAGCCAUUAAAAGCAGGAGCCAGUAACACUCCCAAAGCUUCCACAGACCAUUUUUGGAGCCAGCAGGAAUCUUUGGGUCGCUGGAAAUCUUGGCUGUGCUGGGGGCUUUGACCCCUGGUAAUUUCAAGUUGAGUUUCAUUUUGGAAAGUGAGCUUCAGGUGAUUCUGAAGGUAAAUCCUUUUGGAAAUGUUCCUUUCCACGUAUACAUUUUAAGCUGACACUGAGUAUUUUCCUCAAAGCGAAUAAAGUGAUUUUCCAAAGAUUGGUGAAAUGCUGCCAAAAACAUUUUUGAUGCUAAUUACUGUAUACAAAUGAGAAUACCUGCUGAAAGCUAAGACCAGGGACUAUCUAUCCAGUACUUUUUGAAAGGUUUUUCUUCAUUUCCAAUGCUCUGUGUCUCAAAACCACCACUGGGAAGGGCUGUUGAUGCUGCUCUGGAGGCAGUAACGUCCAUGCGUUGUGCAGGAAACUAAGCGCCAUGAGGAGCUGAGCCAGCCUGCUGGAGAAAGGACCCUGAACACACAGAAUGGUAUGAGGAAGAUUUGAGGUCUUUUGUGCCUUUAUUUGUUCAUUUCCUUUUCAAGCCUCAAUCUUCUCAGCAACUGCAACAAAAAAAAACCCUUUUAUGCUCAGAUGUUGACUUUCUGCCCUGGAAAAACCCUUCUUGACUUCUGCUUGCCACCCCAGCCUUGCCCCUCUCCUACUGGAGGAGGCUUGAUGGAAAACCUAGCAGGUGACAAGUGUACCCACAACCAGCGCCAAUCUGCAGAGUGCUUCUGCCAAUAUGCCAUGCCACUGAGAUCCAUUUGGAGGCAAUGCUUCUUGGGUGAGCCUUGUGCUGUCCUUUCAUUUAUGCUCCUUACUGUGUGUUUGCACAGCCACUGCUCCCAAAUAACUGUGAAAAUUAAGUUUCCAACUCAAAUGAAUGGCUGACUAUACGUGGUCAUAUCAUCACAUCCUCCACAUUUUUUCAACAUCUGCAAAGAUUUGACUAUUACAUCCUUUAUACCUGAGGCACUGCAUCAGGAUGGAUCCUCCUUCGAGUUGCCAGAGCUACAGGGACUGCUUGUGAGUAGAUUGAAAGCCAUCUCUGGAUCAGAACACGACAGCUUUUAAGAAUGCACAACAGUAGCACAGAAUAAUUUGGUAGAGGAGGUUGGAAGAAAUGCUGCAUCCAGCUGACAUGGAGGGAACAGUCACAGAAAAUGGAAAACAGAGAGAAACUUACUUGAUGUACAGCCAAAACAAACAAACAAAACAACAGAAAGAGAUUUUGAACUUUUUUUGAGUCAGAACAAAUCAAGCCAGAUUUGUUAUCUGCUUCAUAAGUCGUAUUAUAUGGGUGUCUGAAGGGCAGAUUAUGAACCACAGCAGUAGAAGUUUGCAGAAUCUUCUGGAGAACAUCAUAUCCAACUUCCCCACUCAAAGAACAGUCAAUGAGAGCAAGUGGUUCAUCGCCUUUUCCUGCUUGUUUUUGAUGGUCUCCACAACAUUUCUGGGCAACCAGUGAAUAUUGGACAACUGUCACAGCUGGAAAAUGAUUUUUUCUUACACUGAAAGGGAUUUUUCUGUAUUUUGUAUUUUGGUUAGUGGCUGUUGCUCUUGCUGCUUUGCAUAAUGCCAAUGAGGAGUCUGGUUCUGAUCAAAGUCAGUAAGGAGACCAGUACCCGAAAUGCUCCAUGGUUUGAAGGAAGAAGACUGAGGUAAACUGGAAAACAUACCACAGGACAAUGCGCUUGUGAGAUUUGCCUUUCUCCCCUGCUGUCUGGAUGAACAUCCAUUCCACUCUCUCUUGCAAAGCCUCAUGAGACCAGUCAAUGUCUGCUAUGCAUUAUUUUGAGUCAAAGCCUGUGGGAAGAGGUGAUGAUUUCUAUUAACAUAGCAGAUAUUGCUGAGGGGAAAAAAAAAAAACCAAAAAACUUUUUAGACACAAACUUUUUACAGGACUGUUCCUGUAAAAGUAACUGAAAGAUUUUGCCUUAUUACAUGUUGCAGCUGCUUAAUUCAUGUCUAACUCAUUCACUGUAAAAAAUCUAAAGUUUCUUCUUUUCAAGUAUAAAACGAGCACAUUUGUUUCUUGUAAGGAAGUAAAAAAGAUGUGUUCAAAUUAGAAUAAAAGCACCAACAGAUAGUUAAUGAAAAGAUAAUAUGCCAGUUCAUACAAUAUGUAAGUUCAGUAAGAGCUGAUUCCACUUCAGUCUCACACGCAAUCUGAGUUUUCCAGUGUAGAGUCAGUCCUUGUGAACAUAUAACCUUUUUUGCCUCUGGAGGCUGGAACUCACUAGAUGCUAGAUGGAUGGUAGAACUGCUUCUGUCUGACUGUUAUGAAAUGUAAGAUAGAAGACAAUACAGAACACUGACAUAUUUUUCUUUUCAUUUGACAUUGCCCAUAUGCCCCUGUUUGUUCCAGCUACAUGAAAUUAUUUCUUAGAAGUCUGGGUUAUGCUGGCUCAGUCCUGUAGUCUUCUUCAUUUACUGUCAAUAAAUGGUAUUGAU
Molecule: long non-coding RNA, 3106 nt
Organism: Tympanuchus pallidicinctus (lesser prairie-chicken)
Lineage: Eukaryota; Metazoa; Chordata; Aves; Galliformes; Phasianidae
Exons: 4
Source: RefSeq, a predicted model, not a curated record